RNAcentral lists this ribosomal RNA (831 nucleotides) under Thalassiosira oceanica. RNAcentral describes it as "partial Bacterial large subunit ribosomal RNA". It matches the Rfam family "Bacterial large subunit ribosomal RNA", at positions 916 to 1753 of the family's 2925-position model. The record is from RNAcentral. Lineage: Eukaryota; Bacillariophyta; Thalassiosirophyceae; Thalassiosirales; Thalassiosiraceae.
AGGCUAGGGGGUCAUGGCGACUUACCAAACCUUAGCAAACUCCGAAUACCGCAGAGUACAGCUUGGGAGACAGAGCACCGGGUGCUAACGUCCGGACUCAAGAGGGAAACAACCCAGACCGCCAGCUAAGGUCCCUAAAAUUGGCUAAGUGGGAAACGAAGUGGGAAGGCUAAAACAGUCAGGAUGUUGGCUUAGAAGCAGCCAUCAUUUAAAGAAAGCGUAAUAGCUCACUGAUCGAGUCGUCCUGCGCGGAAGAUGUAACGGGGCUAAGCCAGUUACCGAAGCUGCGGAUGCAUCGCAAGAUGCGUGGUAGGAGAGCGUUCUGUAAGCCUGUGAAGGUGGGUUGUGAAGCCUGCUGGAGGUAUCAGAAGUGCGAAUGCUGACAUGAGUAGCGUUAAAGGGGGUGAAAAGCCCCCUCGCCGAAAGCGCAAGGUUUCCUACGCAACGUUCAUCGGCGUAGGGUGAGUCGGCCCCUAAGGCGAGGCAGAGAUGCGUAGCUGAUGGGAAACAGGUCAAUAUUCCUGUACCGAUCAAUAGUGCGAUGUGGGGACGGAGAAGGUUAGCUCAGCCGGGUGUUGGAUGUCCCGGUUCAAGCCUGUAGUCGUGCCUGGUAGGCAAAUCCGCCGGGCUUAGAUGAGGGGUGAUAACGAGGAGGCUUGCCUCCGAAGUGAGUGAUACCCUGCUUCCAGGAAAAGCCACUAAGCUUCAGCUAUUGACGACCGUACCGCAAACCGACACUGGUGCGCGAGAUGAGUAUUCUAAGGCGCUUGAGAGAACUCUGGAGAAGGAACUCGGCAAAUUGACACCGUAACUUCGGAAGAAGGUGUGCCU